UACGGGGGGAGCAAGCGUUGUUCGGAUUUACUGGGCGUAAAGGGCGCGUAGGCGGCCUGUGCAAGUCAGUUGUGAAAUCUCCGGGCUUAACUGGGAGGGUGCGGCGGAAACUGGGAUGCUAGAGGAUGGGAGAGGUAAGCGGAAUUCCUGGUGUAGCGGUGAAAUGCGUAGAUAUCAGGAGGAACACCUGUGGUGUAGACAGCUUACUGGACCAUUUCUGACGCUGAGACACGAAAGCGUGGGUAGCAAACAGG
RNAcentral lists this ribosomal RNA (254 nucleotides) under uncultured prokaryote. Its description in RNAcentral is "partial 16S ribosomal RNA". It matches the Rfam family "Bacterial small subunit ribosomal RNA", at positions 524 to 776 of the family's 1533-position model. The record is from RNAcentral.